Molecule: ribosomal RNA, 573 nt
Filed under: Francisella tularensis
Lineage: Bacteria; Pseudomonadati; Pseudomonadota; Gammaproteobacteria; Thiotrichales; Francisellaceae
Description: partial 23S ribosomal RNA
Rfam family: Bacterial large subunit ribosomal RNA
Source: RNAcentral
UGAAGAUUAGGUAGUACUAAUUGGAGGACCGAACCCAAUACUGUUGCAAAAGUAUGGGAUGAGCUGUGGAUCGGAGUGAAAGGCUAAUCAAGCACGGAGAUAGCUGGUUCUCCCCGAAAACUAUUUAGGUAGUGCCUCGUGUAUAACUCAUUGGGGUAAAGCACUGUUUCGACAAUGGGGGUUUUACGACCUUACUGACUCGAUGCAAACUCAGAAUACGAUGAAGUUCGAUCACGGGAGACACACUGCGGGUGCUAAGGUCCGCAGUGGAAAGGGAAACAGCCCAGACCGCCAACUAAGGUCCCAAAGUCAUAGCUAAGUGGGAAACGAAGUGGGAAGGCCCAGACAGCCAGGAGGUUGGCUUAGAAGCAGCCACCCUUUAAAGAAAGCGUAAUAGCUCACUGGUCGAGUCGGCCUGCACGUAAGAUUUAACGGGGCUAAGCUAUGCACUGAAGUUGCGGAAUAUAUUUAGUAUAUUGGUAGGGGAGCGUUCUGUAAGCCGAUGAAGGUGAAUUGAGAAGUUUGCUGGAGGUAUCAGAAGUGCGAAUGCUGACAUGAGUAACGUAAAAUAAG